GUGAGGAAUAUUGGUCAAUGGGCGGAAGCCUGAACCAGCCAUCCCGCGUGCAGGAAGACGGCCCUAUGGGUUGUAAACUGCUUUUCCAGGGGGCGAAACUUUCCCAUGUAUCGGGAUUUGACGGUACCCUGGGAAUAAGCAUCGGCUAACUCCGUGCCAGCAGCCGCGGUAAUACGGAGGAUGCGAGCGUUAUCCGGAUUUAUUGGGUUUAAAGGGUGCGUAGGCGGAUCGAUAAGUCAGUGGUGAAACCCUGCAGCUUAACUGUAGACUUGCCGUUGAUACUGUUGGUCUUGAGUGUGGUCAAGGUAGGCGGAAUGUGUAAUGUAGCGGUGAAAUGCUUAGAUAUUACACAGAACACCGAUUGCGAAGGCAGCUUACUGGGCCAUUACUGACGCUGAUGCACGAAAGCGUGGGGAUCGAACAGGAUUAGAAACCCUAGUAGUCC
RNAcentral lists this ribosomal RNA (445 nucleotides) under uncultured bacterium. Its description in RNAcentral is "partial 16S ribosomal RNA". It matches the Rfam family "Bacterial small subunit ribosomal RNA", at positions 354 to 796 of the family's 1533-position model. The record is from RNAcentral.